RNAcentral lists this long non-coding RNA (718 nucleotides) under Ananas comosus (pineapple). RNAcentral's name for it is "long non-coding RNA (ACOM_LNC032504)". Lineage: Eukaryota; Viridiplantae; Streptophyta; Magnoliopsida; Poales; Bromeliaceae. The record is from RNAcentral.
UGAAGAAAUUAUAUACGGGUAUAUCUAAAACAAAAAUUUUGAGAAAGAUAUAGGAUAUUUCUUAACUUUUGAGAGAUACUAUAGUAUACUGAAUCUUAGCAAAUAAGUAAUAUUAUAUUGUCAGUUAUUAGUCAGCAUGUUUGGUGGGACAACCCAAUAAUCCCACAUCAGAUAGUUAUUGCUAAAUAUGGGAGUAUAUAAGCUUGAUUAGGUUAGACAUAAUAAUUGGGCUUAAGCAUUUUGGGCCAGUCGUUUGGGCCCAACGAGUUAUUGUUGCUAGCGGAUCGAUCGUUAUAUUUGGUAUCAGAGCUAAUUCAUCAACCAGAAGUGUGAGAUAAGUCUUGGCUAAGCCAGGAUCGGAAUGACAAACUAAGCAAGGGUCGGUGAAUGACAGGCUAAAUCACGGUGAAUGCUAAGUCAGGGUCGGAAUAACAAGACUAGCGAGACAAUUAAGUCUCACAUCGUCUGGUGAUCGUGGGCUAUUUGUGUGUUUAGGGCUGACGAGAAUGUUAGGGCCUAAACGGGGGGAGUCUAUGACACCCCAAUAAUCCCACAUCGGAUAGUUAUGGCUAGGUAUGGGGGUAUAGAAGCUUGAUUAGGCUAGAUAUAAUAACUGGGCUUAAGUAUUUUGGGCAAGUAGUUUGGGCCCAAUAAGUUAUUGUUGUUAGCGGGUCGGGUCGUUACAUUUGUGCCACACCCGAUCUCGCAGCGGAAGACU